This 80-nucleotide transfer RNA is filed under the name Echinostoma caproni. It matches the Rfam family "tRNA". Rfam says of the family: Transfer RNA (tRNA) molecules are approximately 80 nucleotides in length. The record is from Rfam by way of RNAcentral. Lineage: Eukaryota; Metazoa; Platyhelminthes; Trematoda; Plagiorchiida; Echinostomatidae.
UGACUUGUAGCUCAGCUGGUAGAGCGCUGUACAAAAGCGUAGGCGGCGUCCAUGCGUGGGUUUGAAUCCCACCGAGGUUA